Molecule: ribosomal RNA, 576 nt
Filed under: uncultured bacterium
Lineage: Bacteria
Description: bacterial SSU rRNA
Rfam family: Bacterial small subunit ribosomal RNA
Source: RNAcentral
CCUACGGGAGGCAGCAGUAAGGAAUAUUGGUCAAUGGACGAAAGUCUGAACCAGCCAUGCCGCGUGAAGGAUGAAGGCCCUCUGGGUUGUAAACUUCUUUUAUCUGGGACGAAAAAAGGGUAUUCUUACUCACUUGACGGUACCAGAGGAAUAAGCACCGGCUAACUCCGUGCCAGCAGCCGCGGUAAUACGGAGGGUGCAAGCGUUAUCCGGAUUCACUGGGUUUAAAGGGAGCGUAGGUGGGCUGAUAAGUCAGUGGUGAAAUCUCCGGGCUUAACCCGGAAACUGCCAUUGAUACUAUUAGUCUUGAAUUAUCUGGAGGUAAGCGGAAUAUGUCAUGUAGCGGUGAAAUGCUUAGAUAUGACAUAGAACACCAAUUGCGAAGGCAGCUUGCUACGGAUUGAUUGACACUGAGGCUCGAAAGCGUGGGGAUCAAACAGGAUUAGAUACCCUGGUAGUCCACGCCCUAAACGAUGGAUACUCGACAUCAGCGAUACACUGUUGGUGUCUGAGCGAAAGCAUUAAGUAUCCACCUGGAAGUACGACCGCAAGGUUGAAACUCAAAGGAAUUGACGG